Molecule: ribosomal RNA, 482 nt
Filed under: fungal yeast sp. Urf1684
Lineage: Eukaryota; Fungi
Description: eukaryotic LSU rRNA
Rfam family: Eukaryotic large subunit ribosomal RNA
Source: RNAcentral
UAAGCGGAGGAAAAGAAACCAACAGGGAUUGCCUCAGUAACGGCGAGUGAAGCGGCAAAAGCUCAAAUUUGAAAUCCUUCGGGAGUUGUAAUUUGUAGGUUGGGAGACCCCGCGGCUAGUGGCACCAAGUCCCUUGGAACAGGGCGCCUUAGAGGGUGAGAGCCCCGUAGGUACCACAAUACCGUCUUGUGUCUCCUCUCCAAAGAGUCGAGUUGUUUGGGAAUGCAGCUCAAAGUGGGUGGUAAAUUCCAUCUAAAGCUAAAUACCGGCGAGAGACCGAUAGCGAACAAGUACAGUGAUGGAAAGAUGAAAAGCACUUUGAAAAGAGAGUGAAACAGUACGUGAAAUUGUUGAAAGGGAAGGGCUUGCAAGCAGACACGGCCUUCGUGCCGGGCCAGCAUCGGUUGCUAGGGGUGGAUAAGGAACAAGGAAUGUAGCUCCUCGGAGUAUUAUAGCCUUGCGCGAUACACCCACUGGCGACC